This 497-nucleotide ribosomal RNA is filed under the name uncultured bacterium. RNAcentral's name for it is "bacterial SSU rRNA". It matches the Rfam family "Bacterial small subunit ribosomal RNA", at positions 31 to 518 of the family's 1533-position model. The record is from RNAcentral.
GAACGCUGGCGGCAGGCCUAACACAUGCAAGUCGAACGGUAACAGGAAGCAGCUUGCUGCUUUGCUGACGAGUGGCGACGGGUGAGUAAUGUCUGGGAAACUGCCCGAUGAGGGGGAUAACUACUGGAAACGGUAGCUAAUACCGCAUAAUGUCGCAAGACCAAAGAGGGGGACCUUCGGGCCUCUUGCCAUCGGAUGUGCCCAGAUGGGAUUAGCUUGUUGGUGAGGUAACGGCUCACCAAGGCGACGAUCCCUAGCUGGUCUGAGAGGAUGACCAGCCACACUGGAACUGAGACACGGUCCAGACUCCUACGGGAGGCAGCAGUGGGGAAUAUUGCACAAUGGGCGCAAGCCUGAUGCAGCCAAUGCCGCGUGUAUGAAGAAGGCCUUUGGGUUGUAAAGUACUUUCAGCGGGGAGGAAGGGGUUAAGGUUAAUAACCUUAGCCAUUGACGUUACCCGCAGAAGAAGCACCGGCUAACUCCGUGCCAGCCGCCGC